UACGUAGGGUGCGAGCGUUAAUCGGAAUUACUGGGCGUAAAGCGUGCGCAGGCGGUUUUGUAAGCCAGAUGUGAAAUCCCCGGGCUUAACCUGGGAAUGGCAUUUGGGACUGCAAGGCUGGAGUGCGGCAGAGGAGACUGGAAUUCCUGGUGUAGCAGUGAAAUGCGUAGAUAUCAGGAGGAAUACCGAUGGCGAAGGCAGGUCUCUGGGCUGACACUGACGCUCAUGCACGAAAGCGUGGGGAGCAACAGG
This 252-nucleotide ribosomal RNA is filed under the name uncultured bacterium. RNAcentral describes it as "partial 16S ribosomal RNA". It matches the Rfam family "Bacterial small subunit ribosomal RNA", at positions 524 to 775 of the family's 1533-position model. The record is from RNAcentral.